This 1498-nucleotide ribosomal RNA is filed under the name Moraxella sp. Acj 218. Its description in RNAcentral is "bacterial SSU rRNA". It matches the Rfam family "Bacterial small subunit ribosomal RNA". The record is from RNAcentral. Lineage: Bacteria; Pseudomonadati; Pseudomonadota; Gammaproteobacteria; Moraxellales; Moraxellaceae.
GAGAGUUUGAUCCUGGCUCAGAUUGAACGCUGGCGGCAGGCUUAACACAUGCAAGUCGAACGAUGAUUAUCUAGCUUGCUAGAUAUGAUUAGUGGCGGACGGGUGAGUAACAUUUAGGAAUCUGCCUAGUAGUGGGGGAUAGCUCGGGGAAACUCGAAUUAAUACCGCAUACGACCUACGGGUGAAAGGGGGCGCAAGCUCUUGCUAUUAGAUGAGCCUAAAUCAGAUUAGCUAGUUGGUGGGGUAAAGGCCCACCAAGGCGACGAUCUGUAACUGGUCUGAGAGGAUGAUCAGUCACACCGGAACUGAGACACGGUCCGGACUCCUACGGGAGGCAGCAGUGGGGAAUAUCGGACAAUGGGGGCAACCCUGAUCCAGCCAUGCCGCGUGUGUGAAGAAGGCCUUUUGGUUGUAAAGCACUUUAAGCAGGGAGGAGAGGCUAAUGGUUAAUACCCAUUAGAUUAGACGUUACCUGCAGAAUAAGCACCGGCUAACUCUGUGCCAGCAGCCGCGGUAAUACAGAGGGUGCGAGCGUUAAUCGGAAUUACUGGGCGUAAAGCGAGUGUAGGUGGCUCAUUAAGUCACAUGUGAAAUCCCCGGGCUUAACCUGGGAACUGCAUGUGAUACUGGUGGUGCUAGAAUAUGUGAGAGGGAAGUAGAAUUCCAGGUGUAGCGGUGAAAUGCGUAGAGAUCUGGAGGAAUACCGAUGGCGAAGGCAGCUUCCUGGCAUAAUAUUGACACUGAGAUUCGAAAGCGUGGGUAGCAAACAGGAUUAGAUACCCUGGUAGUCCACGCCGUAAACGAUGUCUACUAGCCGUUGGGGUCCUUGAGACUUUAGUGGCGCAGUUAACGCGAUAAGUAGACCGCCUGGGGAGUACGGCCGCAAGGUUAAAACUCAAAUGAAUUGACGGGGGCCCGCACAAGCGGUGGAGCAUGUGGUUUAAUUCGAUGCAACGCGAAGAACCUUACCUGGUCUUGACAUAGUGAGAAUCCUGCAGAGAUGCGGGAGUGCCUUCGGGAAUUCACAUACAGGUGCUGCAUGGCUGUCGUCAGCUCGUGUCGUGAGAUGUUGGGUUAAGUCCCGCAACGAGCGCAACCCUUUUCCUUAUUUGCCAGCGGGUUAAGCCGGGAACUUUAAGGAUACUGCCAGUGACAAACUGGAGGAAGGCGGGGACGACGUCAAGUCAUCAUGGCCCUUACGACCAGGGCUACACACGUGCUACAAUGGUAGGUACAGAGGGUUGCUACACAGCGAUGUGAUGCUAAUCUCAAAAAGCCUAUCGUAGUCCGGAUUGGAGUCUGCAACUCGACUCCAUGAAGUCGGAAUCGCUAGUAAUCGCAGAUCAGAAUGCUGCGGUGAAUACGUUCCCGGGCCUUGUACACACCGCCCGUCACACCAUGGGAGUCUAUUGCACCAGAAGUAGGUAGCCUAACGUAAGAGGGCGCUUACCACGGUGUGGUCGAUGACUGGGGUGAAGUCGUAACAAGGUAGCCGUAG